This 30-nucleotide non-coding RNA is filed under the name Homo sapiens (human). The record is from RNAcentral. Lineage: Eukaryota; Metazoa; Chordata; Mammalia; Primates; Hominidae.
UGAGACUCAACUGGGCCUGUAGCUACUGGU